AGCGAACGCUGGCGGCAGGCCUAACACAUGCAAGUCGAACGAACCUUUCGGGGUUAGUGGCGGACGGGUGAGUAACACGUGGGAACGUGCCUUUAGGUUCGGAAUAACUCAGGGAAACUUGUGCUAAUACCGAAUGUGCCCUUCGGGGGAAAGAUUUAUCGCCUUUAGAGCGGCCCGCGUCUGAUUAGCUAGUUGGUUGAGGUAAUGGCUCACCAAGGCGACUAUCAGUAGCUGGUCUGAGAGGAUGAUCAGCCACAUUGGGACUGAGACACGGCCCAAACUCCUACGGGAAGCAGCAGUGGGGAAUCUUGCGCAAUGGGCGAAAGCCUGACGCAGCCAUGCCGCGUGAAUGAUGAAGGUCUUAGGAUUGUAAAAUUCUUUCACCGGGGACGAUAAUGACGGUACCCGGAGAAGAAGCCCCGGCUAACUUCGUG
This 434-nucleotide ribosomal RNA is filed under the name uncultured bacterium. RNAcentral's name for it is "partial 16S ribosomal RNA". It matches the Rfam family "Bacterial small subunit ribosomal RNA", at positions 29 to 507 of the family's 1533-position model. The record is from RNAcentral.